GGCAGCGUAGCUCAGUCGGUAGAGCAGAGGACUCAUAAGCCUCGGGUCGUGGGUUCGAAUCCCUCCGCUGCCA
RNAcentral lists this transfer RNA (73 nucleotides) under Dehalococcoidia bacterium. Its description in RNAcentral is "tRNA-Met". It matches the Rfam family "tRNA". From Rfam's summary of the family: Transfer RNA (tRNA) molecules are approximately 80 nucleotides in length. Their secondary structure includes four short double-helical elements and three loops (D, anti-codon, and T loops). Further hydrogen bonds mediate the characteristic L-shaped molecular structure. tRNAs have two regions of fundamental functional importance: the anti-codon, which is responsible for specific mRNA codon recognition, and the 3' end, to which the tRNAs corresponding amino acid is attached (by aminoacyl-tRNA synthetases). tRNAs cope with the degeneracy of the genetic code in two manners: having more than one tRNA (with a specific anti-codon) for a particular amino acid; and 'wobble' base-pairing, i.e. permitting non-standard base-pairing at the 3rd anti-codon position. The record is from RNAcentral. Lineage: Bacteria; Bacillati; Chloroflexota; Dehalococcoidia.